UCCCAGCUGUAAACGAUGCUCGCUAGGUGUCAGGUGCGGUGCGACCGCAUCUGGUGCCGCAGUGAAAACUUGAAGCGAGUCACCUGGGAAGUACGGUCGCAAGGCUGAAACUUAAAGGAAUUGGCGGGGGAGCACUACAACGGGUGGAGCCUGCGGUUCAAUUGGAUUCAACGCCGGAAAGCUUACCGGACUCGACAGCACUAUGAAGGUCAGGCUAAAGACCUUACCGAAUUCGCUGAGAGGAGGUGCAUGGCCGUCGUCAGUUCGUAUCGUGAGACAUCCUGUUAAGUCAGGCAACGAGCAAGACCCGUGCCCACAGUUGCCAGCAUCUUCGCAAGAAGGAUGGGCACACUGUGGGGACCGCCGCUGCUAAAGCGGAGGAAGGAGCGGGCUACGGUAGGUCAGUAUGCCCCGAAUGGUCCGGGCUACACGCGGGCUACAAUGGUUGGGACAAUGGGCACCAACACCGAGAGGUGACGGU
RNAcentral lists this ribosomal RNA (481 nucleotides) under uncultured bacterium. Its description in RNAcentral is "bacterial SSU rRNA". It matches the Rfam family "Archaeal small subunit ribosomal RNA", at positions 745 to 1225 of the family's 1478-position model. The record is from RNAcentral.